CCCCCCGUCGCUUAAGGGAUAAAGCGCGGACCUCCUAAGUCUGAGCUGCAGGUUCGAGUCCUGCCGGGGGGG
RNAcentral lists this transfer RNA (72 nucleotides) under Frateuria aurantia DSM 6220. It matches the Rfam family "tRNA". Rfam says of the family: Transfer RNA (tRNA) molecules are approximately 80 nucleotides in length. Their secondary structure includes four short double-helical elements and three loops (D, anti-codon, and T loops). The record is from Rfam by way of RNAcentral. Lineage: Bacteria; Pseudomonadati; Pseudomonadota; Gammaproteobacteria; Lysobacterales; Rhodanobacteraceae.